RNAcentral lists this ribosomal RNA (263 nucleotides) under uncultured prokaryote. Its description in RNAcentral is "partial 16S ribosomal RNA". It matches the Rfam family "Bacterial small subunit ribosomal RNA", at positions 524 to 784 of the family's 1533-position model. The record is from RNAcentral.
UACGGAGGAUCCGAGCGUUAUCCGGAUUUAUUGGGUUUAAAGGGUGCGUAGGUGGAUUGGUAAGUCAGUGGUGAAAGUUUGCAGCUUAACUGUAAAAUUAGCCGUUGAAACUAGCCGGUCUUGAGUGCAAAUGAGGUAGGCGGAAUGCGUCGUGUAGCGGUGAAAUGCUUAGAUAUGACGCAGUACUCCGAUUGCGAAGGCAGCUUACUGGGAUGCAACUGACGCUGAGGCACGAAAGCGUGGGUAUCAAACAGGAUUAGAUA